AACGCAUAUUGCGCUCGCUGGAAAACGCCGGCGAGCAUGCCUCUCUGAGUAUCAUUUACACCCCCUCAACUGAGCGUACUUCGGUGCGCUUUCGGUUGGAAACUGAGUGUCUCAGUCAGCAAUGACUAAGUCGCUUUAAAUUCAGUGUGCUCUGGGUGCAAAGGAUAACGUGCUAGGUUCGCAAGAACUGAAGCGUUAGUCAGACUCUUUCACUAGCUGAUGCGGAUAAGCCACCUUUACGGUAGCAAACAACCCGGCAUCUAUGUUGGUCUAGAGUAAAGCUUUGCUCUCGGUCAGCACUCAAACUCGAUUCUUAUUUUUUUUGAAUCUUGAUCUCAGAUGAAGCAAGAGGACCCGCCGAAUUUAA
This 367-nucleotide unclassified non-coding RNA is filed under the name uncultured fungus. Its description in RNAcentral is "sequence contains ITS2". Lineage: Eukaryota; Fungi. The record is from RNAcentral.